This 400-nucleotide ribosomal RNA is filed under the name phytoplankton environmental sample. Its description in RNAcentral is "partial small subunit ribosomal RNA". It matches the Rfam family "Eukaryotic small subunit ribosomal RNA", at positions 587 to 991 of the family's 1831-position model. The record is from RNAcentral.
AGCUCCAAUAGCGUAUAUUAAAGUUGUUGCAGUUAAAAAGCUCGUAGUUGGAUUUGUGGCAGUCGUCAGCAUCCCAGCACUCAGUGUUGGUGUUUGCAGACGUCGCCAUCCUUGGGUGGAACCUGCGUGGCAUUAGGUUGUCGUGUAGGGGAUGCCCAUCGUUUACUGUGAAAAAAUUAGAGUGUUCAAAGCAGGCUUAUGCCGUUGAAUAUAUUAGCAUGGAAUAAUAAGAUAGGACCUUGGUACUAUUUUGUUGGUUUGCGCACCGAGGUAAUGAUUAAUAGGGACAGUUGGGGGUAUUCGUAUUCCAUUGUCAGAGGUGAAAUUCUUGGAUUUUUGGAAGACGAACUACUGCGAAAGCAUUUACCAAGGAUGUUUUCAUUAAUCAAGAACGAAAGUA